Molecule: ribosomal RNA, 337 nt
Filed under: uncultured bacterium
Lineage: Bacteria
Description: bacterial SSU rRNA
Rfam family: Bacterial small subunit ribosomal RNA
Source: RNAcentral
AACGAACACUGGCGGCGUGGAUUAGGCAUGCAAGUCGAGCGGGAUUGGUUUUUUUCAAUUCUUCGGAAGAGAAGCUGACCAUGAGAGCGGCGAACGGGUGGGUAAUAAAUGGGUAAUUUGCCUUGAAAUUCGGGAUAGCCAUUCGAAAGAGUGGGUAAUACCGAAUGUGUUCGGGUCUCGCAUGAGACCUUAUAUAAAGGUGGGGAUUCUUCGGAACCUGCCGCUUCUAGAUAAGCCCAUAUCCUAUCAGCUUGUUGGUGAGGUAAUGGCUCACCAAGGCUUACGGGUAGCCGACCUGAGAGGGUGACCGGCCACACUGGGACUGAGAACUGCCCAG